CCCCUCUCAGGAUCGUACCUGGAGAGUUUCCAGUACUCUACCAGUCUCGGCUACAGGAGGGAGAGUCAAGCAGAGGUGUACCCAUUCCACUCUUAGCUUGGGUAGUGGCUAGCGAGUGGAAGGAAAUCUGCUACAAAU
Tachyglossus aculeatus (Australian echidna) is the source of this 138-nucleotide small nucleolar RNA. The record is from RefSeq and is a predicted model, not a curated record. Lineage: Eukaryota; Metazoa; Chordata; Mammalia; Monotremata; Tachyglossidae.